GGGGGGUUAGCUCAUUUGGACUAGAGCGCCUGCUUUGCACGCAGGAGGUGGUGGGUUCGAAUCCCAUACUCUCUCUCACCA
RNAcentral lists this transfer RNA (81 nucleotides) under Mycoplasmopsis cynos. RNAcentral's name for it is "tRNA-Ala". It matches the Rfam family "tRNA". Rfam says of the family: Transfer RNA (tRNA) molecules are approximately 80 nucleotides in length. The record is from RNAcentral. Lineage: Bacteria; Bacillati; Mycoplasmatota; Mycoplasmoidales; Metamycoplasmataceae.